CUUCAAGUGCUGGUUCAGCACUUGCCCUGAUAUUACUCAACAUUUCUUAAAAUUCUUUAAGUAAUUGAUUAGGAAUUAUUAAAAAUUACUUAAUGUGCAUGGAGGUAUAUAUCAAAUGUUUUUCUUUAAGGGGAGGGUCUAAGCCAUUAAGCAUGUGAUUCCUGGAUUCAUGGAGAGACAAGUAAUGUAAAGAACUGUUCCCCAAAACUCUCAAUGUGUCAACUGACCCAUAUGAGGGAAAAAUAUCUCGGUACCACUAUCAUAAGAAUGUGUGUGUGUGUUUUUUUAUUCUUAGAGGGGAAACUCUACUGUUUGACAGUGAGCUGAAAGAAAUUAACUCCCUGACCAGACAAAAGAAGCAACUAUUUCUGACUGCCUAUGUAAUUGGAUGUUUAUUUUAAAUAAGAUGUUCCUGUUCUUUUGAAUGUGAAUGGCAGCUGCACUAACCUGCAGGAAGAGUAGUUUUUUAGAGCUCAGACUGAGCUGCUUUAUGUUAGUGAUGUCAUUCUUUCCCCUGCUUUUUAAAUUCUCUUUCCUAAUUAAAAUAAAACAAGCCUGUCUUCAGUUGGAAAUUACCAGAAAUUUUAGAUUGUUGCUUUUAGGGCAUUUAUUUUGACACUGCUCAAUGGCAUUUAUGUACUGGAAUACCUAACUAUCUAAAGAUCCAGGUACUGUCCCUUUUGGACAUAUCACAUUGUGCUAAGCACAUUUGGACAUAGGUGAUGUGGUUGCAUACUGUACAUGACCAUGUUCCUAGAGCUAUUAAUUCAGCCCAGUGCAGCAAAGGAAGAAACAAUGUAAGCAGGAGUUAAACAUCAUUCUCAUAAAGGAAAGAACACAAUGUUUUACUGUGAUCUACUGGCUUCUUGCUUUUAAUGUACAACGGACCAAUUAGCUCCUUCAAAAAAUGUCUGAUAGUUAAGACACAGGCAUUUUUGUGUGUCUGUCAUAUUUCAGAGAAUAGAAGAUGCUGAUUAAAUAG
This is a non-coding RNA of Lepisosteus oculatus (spotted gar), 982 nucleotides long. The record is from RefSeq and is a predicted model, not a curated record. NCBI's taxonomy places the organism in Eukaryota, Metazoa, Chordata, Actinopteri, Semionotiformes, Lepisosteidae.